UCGCCCUUCGGUAAUUCCAGCUCCAAUAGCGUAUAUUAAAAUUGUUGCGGUUAAAACGCUCGUAGUUGGACAUUUGUAGGAGACUGCCGGUCUACCCCAGUGGUUAGUACUUGGCAUGUCUUCUGCACCUUCCUGGUGGAAGUGUUCGCACUUUGAUGUGUGGGGCGUAAUCCAGAACUUUUACUUUGAGGAAAUGAGAGUGCUUCACGCAGGCAUCCGUCGUGAAUACGUUAGCAUGGAAUAACACUAUAGACCACGUUCUAAAGCUGUUGGUUUUUAGGACGAGGUAAUGAAAAGAGGGAUAGUUGGGGGCAUUCGUAUUUAACUGUCAGAGGUGAAAUUCUUGGAUCUUUAAAAGACGAACUACUGCGAAAGCAUCUGCCCAGGAUGUUUCUAUUAAUCAAGAACGAAAGUUAGGGGAUCGAAGACGAUCAGAUACCGUCCUAGUCUUAACCUUAAACCAUGCCGACUAGAGAUUGGGGUCGUCAGAAUGUAGACGACGUCAGCAGCUUGAGAGAAAUCAAAGUCUUUGGGUUCCGGGGGGAGUAUGGUCGCAAGGCUGAAACUUAAAGGAAUUGACGGAAGGGCACCACCAGGAGUGGAGCCUGCGGCUUAAUUUGACUCAACACGGGGAAACUCACCAGGUCCAGACAUAGGGAGGAUUGACAGACUGAUAGCUCUUUCUUGAUUCUAUAGGUGGUGGUGCAUGGCCGUUCUUAGUUGGUGGAGUGAUUUGUCUGGUUAAUUCCGUUAACGAACGAGACCUUAACCUGCUAAAUAGUUCUCGAAAACAUCACGUUUCCGGAGAGCUUCUUAGAGGGACUUUGUGUGUGUAACAUAAGGAAGUGCGAGGCAAUAACAGGUCUGUGAUGCCCUUAGAUGUCCUGGGCCGCACGCGCGCUACACUGAUGCGUCCAACGAGUGCCCAACCUACUCUGGAAGGAAUGGGUAACCUUUUGAAAGCGCAUCGUGAUGGGGAUAGAUUAUUGCAAUUGUUAAUCUUGAACGAGGAAUUCCUAGUAAGCGCAAGUCAUCAGCUUGUGCUGAUUACGUCCCUGCCCUUUGUACACACCGCCCGUCGCUCCUACCGAUUGAGUAAUCUGGUGAAUAAUUUGGACUGCAACGUGCCCAGAUCUGGGAUGCGCUGCGGAAAGUCUAGUAAACCCUAUCACUUAGAGGAAGGAGAAGUCGUAACAAGGUUUCCGUAGGUGAACCUGCAGGGGGAUCA
RNAcentral lists this ribosomal RNA (1228 nucleotides) under uncultured dinoflagellate. RNAcentral describes it as "SSU rRNA". It matches the Rfam family "Eukaryotic small subunit ribosomal RNA", at positions 571 to 1828 of the family's 1831-position model. Lineage: Eukaryota; Dinophyceae. The record is from RNAcentral.